CCUACGGGAGGCAGCAGUGGGGAAUAUUGGGCAAUGGGCGCAAGCCUGACCCAGCAACGCCGCGUGAAGGAAGAAGGCUUUCGGGUUGUAAACUUCUUUUGUCAGGGACGAAGCAAGUGACGGUACCUGACGAAUAAGCCACGGCUAACCUCGUGCCAGCAGCCGCGGUAAUACGUAGGUGGCAAGCGUUAUCCGUAUUUACUGGGUGUAAAGGGCGUGGAGGCGGGACUGCAAGGCAGAUGGGAAAACCACGGGCUCAACCUGUGGCCUGCAUUUGAAACUGUAGUUCUUGAGUACUGGAGAGGCAGACGGAAUUCCUAGUGUAGCGGUGAAAUGCGUAGAUAUUAGGAGGAAAACCAGUGGCGAAGGCGGUCUGCUGGACAGCAACUGACGCUGAGGCGCGAAAGCGUGGGGAGCAAACAGGAUUAGAUACCCUUGUAGUC
Molecule: ribosomal RNA, 443 nt
Filed under: uncultured bacterium
Lineage: Bacteria
Description: partial 16S ribosomal RNA
Rfam family: Bacterial small subunit ribosomal RNA
Source: RNAcentral